RNAcentral lists this ribosomal RNA (254 nucleotides) under uncultured bacterium. Its description in RNAcentral is "partial 16S ribosomal RNA". It matches the Rfam family "Bacterial small subunit ribosomal RNA", at positions 524 to 776 of the family's 1533-position model. The record is from RNAcentral.
UACGUAGGCAGCGAGCGUUGUUCGGAAUUACUGGGCGUAAAGGAGUGUGUAGGCGGUUGCUCUAAGUUCGGUGUGAAAUCUCCCGCUUAACUGGGAGGGUGCGCCGGAAACUGGAGUGCUCGAACGUGGGAGAGGGAAAGCGGAAUUCCUGGUGUAGCGGUGAAAUGCGUAGAUAUCAGGAGGAACACCUGCGGUGUAGACGGCUUCUGGACCAUUGUUGACGCUGAGACACGAAAGCGUGGGUAGCAAACAGG